This 849-nucleotide long non-coding RNA is filed under the name Hordeum vulgare. RNAcentral describes it as "long non-coding RNA (HVUL_LNC005574)". The record is from RNAcentral. Lineage: Eukaryota; Viridiplantae; Streptophyta; Magnoliopsida; Poales; Poaceae.
ACAAUGUAUUUUCGUGGAAGCUGAGCCUAGAGAAGAGAAUGAAGGAUAAGCAAUGGUCCUGCAGCAGCCUGGAAUCUGUGGACGCAUAUGCAUGCUGAACAAAUGGUACAAGCAGUAGGAGACAAAACAUCACAAGGGGUCACUCGAUGCUUAAACUGAAUCCUCAUUAGAUGGUUUGGUGUUUAUGGUAAGCAUGCUCAACGAGUUGUACCGAGCGACAAAUUAACGAGAUGCUUGGACGCUUGGUGUCGAUGGCUUGUAGUACAACCCAAUUAACAAACUAAUGAGACGCUUGAUCUUGAGGCUUUCUACACAACCUUGUGCCUAAUCGACAAAAUUUUGCUAUAUAGAGUACGCUCAGCUUUCUUAGCCGAGGCAACGAUUGCAUGGGUCGAUUCAUAGAACACGGUGUCCCUGGAGAUCCCAAGCGGCUAUCCUGCGUACUUUUCUAAUCACCACGGACUUUUCUAAUCACCACAGACUUUUCUUACCUGCGUGGUGCUGCGGACCAGCGAGUCUGAGCCGCCAGGGGCCAGGGGAUGCCCGCGGGCAGGAUGAGCCCACGACAUCGAUCCUCCGCCAAUCAACCGGACGCUCGGAUGGAGAUCGCCGACGUUGAUGGACGCGCUAGCUAGGGCCACCGCCCGCGGGUGGACCCCGCGUAGACCCGGCGCAGGUUCUCCGAUGGGGCAUUUCCUCGAACACGUCCAGGGAGCGACCCCGCUGGACAGCCGCGACGGAAGGCGGGGAGGCGCGCACGCCGUGGUAGACGGGCUCGACCAUGAGCGGCGCGACGUGGUCGGGUGGUGGAUUCUGGCGCGGUUACGAGCGGCGCAGAAAUGCGCGCUG